AAACAACGACAGGGGAGCGCAACCACGUAUGUGGUGGGCGCUGAGAGUGCGGAUCACCGCAGACCCUCGAACCUGAUCCGGUUAGUACCGGCGAAGGGAGUCGAGUUCUCGAGGCU
This 116-nucleotide non-coding RNA is filed under the name Arthrobacter sp. RNAcentral's name for it is "TPP sequence". It matches the Rfam family "TPP riboswitch aptamer (THI element)". From Rfam's summary of the family: Vitamin B(1) in its active form thiamin pyrophosphate (TPP) is an essential coenzyme that is synthesised by coupling of pyrimidine and thiazole moieties in bacteria. The previously detected thiamin-regulatory element, thi box was extended, resulting in a new, highly conserved RNA secondary structure, the THI element, which is widely distributed in eubacteria and also occurs in some archaea. The record is from RNAcentral. Lineage: Bacteria; Bacillati; Actinomycetota; Actinomycetes; Micrococcales; Micrococcaceae.